AUGGAGGCAGCAGUGGGGAAUUUUCCGCAAUGAGUGAAAGCUUGACGGAGCAAUGCCGCGUGGAGGAAGACGGCCUUAGGGUUGUAAACUCCUUUUCUCAUUGAAGAAGUUAUGACGGUAUUUGAGGAAUAAGCAUCGGCUAACUUUGUGCCAGCAGCCGCGGUAAUACAAGGGAUGCAAGCGUUAUCCGGAAUUAUUGGGCGUAAAGAGUUUGUAGGUGGUCUAAUGUGUUUGGUGUUAAAUUUUAAAGCUUAACUUUGACAUGGCAUUAAAAACUAUUAGGCUUGAGUAUGAUAGAGGUAAAGGGAAUUCCCAGUGUAGCGGUGAAAUGCGUAGAUAUUGGGAAGAACACCAAUGGCGAAAGCACUUUGCUAGGUUAAUACUGACACUGAGAAACGAGAGCUAAGGUAGCAAACAGGAUUAGAUACCCCGGU
This 434-nucleotide ribosomal RNA is filed under the name uncultured bacterium. RNAcentral describes it as "bacterial SSU rRNA". It matches the Rfam family "Bacterial small subunit ribosomal RNA", at positions 342 to 791 of the family's 1533-position model. The record is from RNAcentral.